GCGGGUAUGGUGUAGUGGUAGCGCGUCAGCUUCCCAAGCUGUCAGGACGGGUUCGAUUCCCGUUACCCGCU
Molecule: transfer RNA, 71 nt
Filed under: Anaerolineales bacterium
Lineage: Bacteria; Bacillati; Chloroflexota; Anaerolineae; Anaerolineales
Description: tRNA-Gly
Rfam family: tRNA
About the family: Transfer RNA (tRNA) molecules are approximately 80 nucleotides in length. Their secondary structure includes four short double-helical elements and three loops (D, anti-codon, and T loops).
Source: RNAcentral